GGACUACCCGGGUUUCUAAUCCCGUUCGCUCCCCGAGCUUUCGCGCCUCAGCGUCAGUGACAGCCCAGUCGGCCGCCUUCGCCACCGGUGUUCCUCCUGAUCUCUACGCAUUUCACCACUACACCAGGAAUUCCACCGACCUCUGCUGCCCUCAAGCCUCCCAGUCUCAAACGGCCCCUCCCAGUUGGGCCGGGAGAUUUCACGUCUGACUUAGAAAGCCACCUGCGCGCGCUUUACGCCCAGUAAUUCCGGAUAACGCUCGCCUCGUACGUAUUACCGCGGCUGCUGGCAC
RNAcentral lists this ribosomal RNA (292 nucleotides) under uncultured bacterium. RNAcentral's name for it is "partial 16S ribosomal RNA". The record is from RNAcentral.